CAAGCGUUGUCCGGAAUUAUUGGGCGUAAAGGGNUCGCAGGCGGUUUUCUUAANUNUGAUGUGAAAGCCCCCGGCUCNACCGGGGAGGGUCAUUGNAAACUGGGGAACUUGAGUGCAGAAGAGGAGAGUGGAAUUNCACGUGUAGCGGUGAAAUGCGUAGAGAUGUGGAGGAACACCAGUGGCGAAGGCGACUNUCUGGUCUGUAACUGACGCUGAGGAGCGAAAGCGUGGGGAGCGAACAGGAUUAGAUACCCUGGUAGUCCACGCCGUAAACGAUGAGUGCUAAGUGUUAGGGGGUUUCCGCCCCUUAGUGCUGCAGCUAACGCAUUAAGCACUCCGCCUGGGGAGUACGGUCGCAAGACUGAAACUCAAAGGAAUUGACGGGGGCCCGCACAAGCGGUGGAGCAUGUGGUUUAAUUCGAAGCAACGCGAGGAACCUUACCAGGUCUUGACAUCCUCUGACAAUCCUAGAGAUAGGACGUCCCCUUCGGGGGCAGAGUGACAGGUGGUGCGUGGUUGUCGUCAGCUCGUGUCGUGAGAUGUUGGGUUAAGUCCCGCAACGAGCGCAACCCUUGAUCUUAGUUGCCAGCAUUCAGUUGGGCACUCUAAGGUGACUGCCGGUGACAAACCGGAGGAAGGUGGGGAUGACGUCAAAUCAUCAUGCCCCUUAUGACCUGGGCUACACACGUGCUACAAUGGGCAGAACAAAGGGCAGCGAAACCGCGAGGUUAAGCCAAUCCCACAAAUCUGUUCUCAGUUCGGAUCGCAGUCUGCAACUCGACUGCGUGAAGCUGGAAUCGCUAGUAAUCGCGGAUCAGCAUGCCGCGGUGAAUACGUUCCCNGGCNNNUGUACACACCGCCCGUAAUCG
Molecule: ribosomal RNA, 869 nt
Filed under: Bacillus subtilis
Lineage: Bacteria; Bacillati; Bacillota; Bacilli; Caryophanales; Bacillaceae
Description: bacterial SSU rRNA
Rfam family: Bacterial small subunit ribosomal RNA
Source: RNAcentral